GUGCUCACUUCGGCAGCACAUAGAGUAAAAUUGGAACGAUACAGAGAUUAGCAUGGUUCCUGCGCACUGAUGAUACUCAAUUCCUGGCAUCACAAGUACCAGAGUGAU
This is a small nuclear RNA of Erinaceus europaeus (western European hedgehog), 108 nucleotides long. The record is from Ensembl. NCBI's taxonomy places the organism in Eukaryota, Metazoa, Chordata, Mammalia, Eulipotyphla, Erinaceidae.